RNAcentral lists this ribosomal RNA (642 nucleotides) under Pediococcus pentosaceus. RNAcentral describes it as "bacterial SSU rRNA". It matches the Rfam family "Bacterial small subunit ribosomal RNA", at positions 64 to 675 of the family's 1533-position model. Lineage: Bacteria; Bacillati; Bacillota; Bacilli; Lactobacillales; Lactobacillaceae. The record is from RNAcentral.
UUAUUGAUUAUGACGUACUUGUACUGAUUGAGAUUUUAACACGAAGUGAGUGGCGAACGGGUGAGUAACACGUGGGUAACCUGCCCAGAAGUAGGGGAUAACACCUGGAAACAGAUGCUAAUACCGUAUAACAGAGAAAACCGCAUGGUUUUCUUUUAAAAGAUGGCUCUGCUAUCACUUCUGGAUGGACCCGCGGCGUAUUAGCUAGUUGGUGAGGUAAAGGCUCACCAAGGCAGUGAUACGUAGCCGACCUGAGAGGGUAAUCGGCCACAUUGGGACUGAGACACGGCCCAGACUCCUACGGGAGGCAGCAGUAGGGAAUCUUCCACAAUGGACGCAAGUCUGAUGGAGCAACGCCGCGUGAGUGAAGAAGGGUUUCGGCUCGUAAAGCUCUGUUGUUAAAGAAGAACGUGGGUAAGAGUAACUGUUUACCCAGUGACGGUAUUUAACCAGAAAGCCACGGCUAACUACGUGCCAGCAGCCGCGGUAAUACGUAGGUGGCAAGCGUUAUCCGGAUUUAUUGGGCGUAAAGCGAGCGCAGGCGGUCUUUUAAGUCUAAUGUGAAAGCCUUCGGCUCAACCGAAGAAGUGCAUUGGAAACUGGGAGACUUGAGUGCAGAAGAGGACAGUGGAACUCCAUGUG